GGCGUGUGGUGUGAGACGCAGGGCCAUGUUACCCUAUGUGGCGUGCAGCGCGAGUCGGAGGCUGGCCCCGGCUUUGGGGAUCCUGGGGGCCCGGCAGAAGCACAGCCUCCCGGACUUGACCUACGACUAUGGGGCCCUGGAGCCUCACAUUAACGCCCGGAUCAUGGAGCUGCACCACAGCAAGCACCAUGCAACCUCUGUGAACAACUUGAACGCCACCGAGGAGAAGUACCAGGAGGCGCUGGCCAAGGGAGACGUUACGACUCAGGUAGCACUUCAGCCUGCCCUGAAGUUCAAUGGUGGAGGUCAUAUCAAUCACAGCAUUUUCUGGACGAACCUGAGCCCUAAUGGUGGUGGAGAACCCAAAGGGGAAUUACUGGAAGCCAUCAAACGUGACUUUGGUUCCUUUGAGAAGUUUAAGGAGAAGCUGACAGCUGUAUCCGUUGGAUUUUAUAAAGAUUAG
Molecule: RNA transcript, 463 nt
Organism: Octodon degus (degu)
Lineage: Eukaryota; Metazoa; Chordata; Mammalia; Rodentia; Octodontidae
Gene name: superoxide dismutase [Mn], mitochondrial pseudogene
Exons: 2
Source: RefSeq, a predicted model, not a curated record